This 1579-nucleotide ribosomal RNA is filed under the name Rhinoceros sondaicus (Javan rhinoceros). RNAcentral's name for it is "16S ribosomal RNA". It matches the Rfam family "Bacterial large subunit ribosomal RNA", at positions 378 to 2925 of the family's 2925-position model. The record is from RNAcentral. Lineage: Eukaryota; Metazoa; Chordata; Mammalia; Perissodactyla; Rhinocerotidae.
ACUAAAGCUAGCCCAAAAAUAAAACCUAACCCAAUUACCACUAAGCCCACUUAAACAAAACAUUUACUUAAACCCAUUAAAGUAUAGGAGAUAGAAAUUUUAAUCGGCGCUAUAGAGAAAGUACCGCAAGGGAACGAUGAAAGAAAUCUUAAAAGUACCAAACAGCAAAGCUCACCCCUUCUACCUUUUGCAUAAUGAUUUAACCAGAACAGUUUUAGCAAAGAGAACUUAAGUUAAACACCCCGAAACCAGACGAGCUACCUAUGAACAGUUCCAAAAACAAACUCGUCUAUGUAGCAAAAUAGUGAGAAGAUUUAUAGGUAGAGGUGAAAAGCCUAACGAGCCUGGUGAUAGCUGGUUGUCCAAGUCAGAAUAUAAGUUCAAAUUUAAAUUUACCUAAAAGCCCUAAUAACUCCAAUGUAAAUUUAAAUUAUAAUCUAAAAAGGUACAGCUCUUUAGAUGCAGGAUACAACCUUAGUUAGAGAGUAAGAUCAAAAUCAACACAUAGUUGGCUUAAAAGCAGCCAUCAAUUAAGAAAGCGUCUAAGCUCAACAACGCAACUACCUUAAUUUCAACAAUAACUAACCAACUCCUAACUUAAUACUGGACUAAUCUAUUAAUAAAUAGAAGCAAUAAUGUUAAUAUGAGUAACAAGAACUAUUUCUCCUUGCACAAGCCUAUAUCAGAACGAAUAACCACUGAUAGUUAACAAUAAGAUAAGCACAAUCCAACAACAAACCACCUAUCAAACCAAUUGUUAAUCCAACACAGGCAUGCACUUCAAAGGAAAGCUUAUAAAAAGUAAAAAGGAACUCGGCAAACACAAACCCCGCCUGUUUACCAAAAACAUCACCUCUAGCAUACCCAGUAUUAGAGGCACUGCCUGCCCAGUGACAUCUGUUUCAACGGCCGCGGUAUCAUAACCGUGCAAAGGUAGCAUAAUCACUUGUUCUCUAAAUAAGGACUUGUAUGAACAGCCACACGAGGGUUUUACUGUCUCUUACUUUCAAUCAGUGAAAUUGACCUCCCCGUGAAGAGGCGGGGAUGACACAAUAAGACGAGAAGACCCUAUGGAGCUUCAAUCAACUAAUUCACAAAAAUAAAAUAUUCAACCUACAUACAAGGGAUAACAAAAUUUUGACUGAAUUAGCGAUUUCGGUUGGGGUGACCUCGGAGAACAAAACAACCUCCGAGUGAUUAAAUUCCAGACUAACUAGUCAAAAAUAUCACAUCACUUAGUGAUCCAAACUAUUGAUCAACAGAACAAGUUACCCUAGGGAUAACAGCGCAAUCCUAUUCUACAGUUCGUAUCGACAAUAGGGUUUACGACCUCGAUGUUGGAUCAGGACAUCCUAAUGGUGUAACCGCUAUUAAUGGUUCGUUUGUUCAACGAUUAAAGUCCUACGUGAUCUGAGUUCAGACCGGAGUAAUCCAGGUCGGUUUCUAUCUAUUUAAUAUUUCUCCCAGUACGAAAGGAAAAGAAAAAUAAGGCCCACUUCACAAAAGCGCCUUCAAACCAAUAGAUGAUGUAAUCUCAAUCUAAUAAAUUUAUACACAUUUUACCCCAGACCAGGGUUAU